Talpa occidentalis (Iberian mole) is the source of this 232-nucleotide long non-coding RNA. RefSeq lists it as uncharacterized. NCBI's taxonomy places the organism in Eukaryota, Metazoa, Chordata, Mammalia, Eulipotyphla, Talpidae. The record is from RefSeq and is a predicted model, not a curated record. The transcript has 3 exons.
GAGCAGCGGGCGGCGGGAGAGGUCAAUGCAGCCAGAGAACAAGCCCUCCAACUACUGCACAAUAUACUAAAUUUCAGUUUUCACAAGAGUUUACAUCUGGCUUAAUGAAUACUAAGAGAUAUCAGCUGUAGGAAAUUUUAUGGAACAUCCAUGGAGCUGCUAAGCCACCCCACAAAAUUUCUCCUUUUCUUUAUGGGUAAGACAUUAAACACACUUGCCUGCUGGGCAUUUA